CCUACGGGAGGCAGCAGUGGGGAAUAUUGGGCAAUGGGCGCAAGCCUGACCCAGCAACGCCGCGUGAAGGAAGAAGGCUUUCGGGUUGUAAACUUCUUUUCUCAGGGACGAAGAAAGUGACGGUACCUGAGGAAUAAGCCACGGCUAACUACGUGCCAGCAGCCGCGGUAAUAAGUAGGUGGCAAGCGUUAUCCGGAUGUAUUGGGUGUAAAGGGGGUGUAGGCGGAAGCGCAAGUCAGAUGUGAAACCCCAGGGCUCAACCCUGGGCCUGUAUUUGAAACUGUGUUUCUUGAGUGCUGGAGAGGCAAUCGGAAUUCCGGGGGUAGCGGUGAAAUGCGUAGAUAUACGGAGGAACACCAGUGGCGAAGGUGGAUUACUGGACAGUAACUGACGCUGAGGCGCGAAAGCGUGGGGAGCAAACAGGAUUAGAUACCCCUGUAGUC
This 443-nucleotide ribosomal RNA is filed under the name uncultured bacterium. Its description in RNAcentral is "partial 16S ribosomal RNA". It matches the Rfam family "Bacterial small subunit ribosomal RNA", at positions 338 to 795 of the family's 1533-position model. The record is from RNAcentral.